This 19-nucleotide small RNA is filed under the name Arabidopsis thaliana (thale cress). RNAcentral's name for it is "ATSL011050". The record is from RNAcentral. Lineage: Eukaryota; Viridiplantae; Streptophyta; Magnoliopsida; Brassicales; Brassicaceae.
UAAAUUGAAUAAAUUAAAA